GCGUCAGUAGCUCAGCUGGAUAGAGCGCGCCCCUCCUAAGGGUGAGGCCGGGGGUUCGAAUCCCUUCUGGCGCACCA
Molecule: transfer RNA, 77 nt
Filed under: Oscillibacter valericigenes
Lineage: Bacteria; Bacillati; Bacillota; Clostridia; Eubacteriales; Oscillospiraceae
Also listed under: 4 other names
Description: tRNA-Arg
Rfam family: tRNA
About the family: Transfer RNA (tRNA) molecules are approximately 80 nucleotides in length. Their secondary structure includes four short double-helical elements and three loops (D, anti-codon, and T loops).
Source: RNAcentral